This 30-nucleotide non-coding RNA is filed under the name Rattus norvegicus (Norway rat). Lineage: Eukaryota; Metazoa; Chordata; Mammalia; Rodentia; Muridae. The record is from RNAcentral.
UUCAAGGCCAGUCCUAAGAUACCCUAGGAA